RNAcentral lists this ribosomal RNA (549 nucleotides) under uncultured bacterium. RNAcentral's name for it is "bacterial SSU rRNA". It matches the Rfam family "Bacterial small subunit ribosomal RNA", at positions 962 to 1509 of the family's 1533-position model. The record is from RNAcentral.
CGAAGAACCUUUACCUGGUCUUGACAUAGUAAGAACUUUCCAGAGAUGGAUUGGUGCCUUCGGGAACUUACAUACAGGUGCUGCAUGGCUGUCGUCAGCUCGUGUCGUGAGAUGUUGGGUUAAGUCCCGCAACGAGCGCAACCCUUUUCCUUAUUUGCCAGCGGGUUAAGCCGGGAACUUUAAGGAUACUGCCAGUGACAAACUGGAGGAAGGCGGGGACGACGUCAAGUCAUCAUGGCCCUUACGACCAGGGCUACACACGUGCUACAAUGGUCGGUACAAAGGGUUGCUACCUCGCGAGAGGAUGCUAAUCUCAAAAAGCCGAUCGUAGUCCGGAUUGGAGUCUGCAACUCGACUCCAUGAAGUCGGAACCGCUAGUAAUCGCGGAUCAGAAUGCCGCGGUGAAUACGUUCCCGGGCCUUGUACACACCGCCCGUCACACCAUGGGAGUUUGUUGCACCAGAAGUAGGUAGUCUAACCUUAGGGGGGACGCUUACCACGGUGUGGCAGAUGACUGGGGUGAAGUCGUAACAAGGUAGGCGUAGAUGA